ACUGCCCGAAGAGGGGGAUAACCACUGGAAACGGUGGCUAAUACCGCAUAACGUCGCAGGACCAAAGAGGGGGACCUUAGGGCCUCUCACUAUCGGAUGAACCCAGAUGGGAUUAGCUAGUAGGCGGGGUAAUGGCCCACCUAGGCGACGAUCCCUAGCUGGUCUGAGAGGAUGACCAGCCACACUGGAACUGAGACACGGUCCAGACUCCUACGGGAGGCAGCAGUGGGGAAUAUUGCACAAUGGGCGCUUGCUUGAUGCAGCCAUGCCGCGUGUAUGAAGAAGGCCUUCGGGUUGUAAAGUACUUUCAGCGGGGAGGAAGGCGACGGGGUUAAUAACCCUGUCGAUUGACGUUACCCGCAGAAGAAGCACCGGCUAACUCCGUGCCAGCAGCCGCGGUAAUACGGGGGGUGCAAGCGUUAAUCGGAAUUACUGGGCGUAAAGCGCACGCAGGCGGUCUGUUAAGUCAGAUGUGAAAUCCCCGGGCUUAACCUGGGAACUGCAUUUGAAACUGGCAGGCUUGAGUCUUGUAAAG
This 535-nucleotide ribosomal RNA is filed under the name uncultured Pantoea sp. Its description in RNAcentral is "bacterial SSU rRNA". It matches the Rfam family "Bacterial small subunit ribosomal RNA", at positions 125 to 656 of the family's 1533-position model. The record is from RNAcentral. Lineage: Bacteria; Pseudomonadati; Pseudomonadota; Gammaproteobacteria; Enterobacterales; Erwiniaceae.